AGCUUAAUGAUGAAUUUCUCUUUGAUUGCUUGAAGCAAUAUGAAAAAAUACAUUUCACCGGCUCUGAAAGCU
Molecule: small nucleolar RNA, 72 nt
Organism: Ochotona princeps (American pika)
Lineage: Eukaryota; Metazoa; Chordata; Mammalia; Lagomorpha; Ochotonidae
Product: small nucleolar RNA SNORD102
Exons: 1
Source: RefSeq, a predicted model, not a curated record